UAUGAGAGCUCUAUCCAGAAGC
RNAcentral lists this microRNA (22 nucleotides) under Callorhinchus milii (elephant shark). RNAcentral's name for it is "eshark_NOVEL_21". Lineage: Eukaryota; Metazoa; Chordata; Chondrichthyes; Chimaeriformes; Callorhinchidae. The record is from RNAcentral.